CCUACGGGAGGCAGCAGUGGGGAAUAUUGCACAAUGGGCGCAAGCCUGAUGCAGCCAUGCCGCGUGUAUGAAGAAGGCCUUCGGGUUGUAAAGUACUUUCAGCGGGGAGGAAGGUGUUGUGGUUAAUAACCACAGCAAUUGACGUUACCCGCAGAAGAAGCACCGGCUAACUCCGUGCCAGCAGCCGCGGUAAU
Molecule: ribosomal RNA, 194 nt
Filed under: uncultured bacterium
Lineage: Bacteria
Also listed under: 3 other names
Description: partial 16S ribosomal RNA
Rfam family: Bacterial small subunit ribosomal RNA
Source: RNAcentral